Molecule: ribosomal RNA, 457 nt
Filed under: uncultured Methanosaeta sp.
Lineage: Archaea; Methanobacteriati; Methanobacteriota; Methanomicrobia; Methanotrichales; Methanotrichaceae
Description: bacterial SSU rRNA
Rfam family: Archaeal small subunit ribosomal RNA
Source: RNAcentral
ACAACGGGUGGAGCUUGCGGUUUAAUUGGAUUCAACGCCGGAAAUCUUACCGGGACCGACAGCAAUAUGAAGGCCAGGCUGAAGACUUUGCCGGAUUAGCUGAGAGGUGGUGCAUGGCCGUCGUCAGUUCGUACUGUGAAGCAUCCUGUUAAGUCAGGCAACGAGCGAGACCCACGCCCACAGUUGCCAGCGUACUCUCCGGAGUGACGGGUACACUGUGGGACCGCCGCUGCUAAAGCGGAGGAAGGAAUGGGCAACGGUAGGUCAGUAUGCCCCGAAUAUCCCGGGCUACACGCGAGCUACAAUGGUUGGUACAAUGGGUAUCUACCCCGAAAGGGGACGGGAAUCUCCUAAAACCAAUCUUAGUUCGGAUUGAGGGCUGCAACUCGCCCUCAUGAAGCUGGAAUCCGUAGUAAUCGCGUUUCAACAGAACGCGGUGAAUACGUCCCUGCUCCUU